RNAcentral lists this ribosomal RNA (236 nucleotides) under uncultured bacterium. Its description in RNAcentral is "partial 16S ribosomal RNA". It matches the Rfam family "Bacterial small subunit ribosomal RNA", at positions 100 to 334 of the family's 1533-position model. The record is from RNAcentral.
CGGGACGGGUGAGUAACGCGUGGGUAACCUGCCUUGUACAGGGGGAUAACAGUUGGAAACGGCUGCUAAUACCGCAUAAGCGCACAGCAUCGCAUGAUGCAGUGUGAAAAACUCCGGUGGUAUAAGAUGGACCCGCGUUGGAUUAGCUAGUUGGUGAGGUAACGGCCCACCAAGGCGACGAUCAGUAGCCGACCUGAGAGGGUGACCGGCCACAUUGGGACUGAGACACGGCCCAA